GCCCUACUCUUGCCACAAGGGGAAAGCAAACAGCUGCACCUUUUGGCUUCAGUCUCACAUGCAGAAAUGACACUGGGUGCUCAAAAAAUCAGGUCUCAGCUGAGGCUGGUGAGACCAGUCGAACAACACACCAAACCCCCUGGAGUUGACUGCUGCUACCUGCACAGGUCACUGGAGGAGAGAGAAGACAUGUCUGCCAGGACACAACAUAACUUUUUAUGCUACCAAAGACUUUGAGCAAAUCAAAGCGAACAGGAAAACUGCUGAACUCUUGGAAAACUUUCAGCAACACUCUGGGAUAGCGGUCUGAAGGCUUUGUAAACAGACAACAGCUACAAAGAA
Long non-coding RNA from Pezoporus flaviventris, 342 nucleotides. RefSeq lists it as uncharacterized. Lineage: Eukaryota; Metazoa; Chordata; Aves; Psittaciformes; Psittacidae. The record is from RefSeq and is a predicted model, not a curated record. The transcript has 3 exons.